GGCGUUGCUUUCCGUUUUUGUGAUGCAGGCGUCUUCUCAGUGGUUUCAUCUUGUGUAGCUUGUGUUGCGUGUGAUGAAGAAGUCACCGGAGUAUUGACGGGCUCUAAGUUUUGCUCCAUCUCCGUCUGAAACAAGAAAUUAUCGAAUCAAAAUCCAACAAUCAAAAGAAUCCGAAGUAUGAGAGCAAAUAAUCUACCUUAAUUAGCUCAACAAGCUUGAUGUACGUGAGAUUGUGAAUCGUUGAAUCUGAAGUAGUUAUUGCAGAUAAGAUGUUAGCUAUUUGGGAUUUAGGGUUUUGUCAUUUGUGCGGCUAUCGGCUAGAAUAAAAGAGAUGACUAGAUGAGUAUGAUUUUAAGUUUUACCUAAUAGAACUUUGGGCUUCUGCCUUCUGGGCUACCGCAUGCUGCUGGACUGCUAGACUAGGACUAAUAAUAGUU
Molecule: long non-coding RNA, 437 nt
Filed under: Daucus carota (carrot)
Lineage: Eukaryota; Viridiplantae; Streptophyta; Magnoliopsida; Apiales; Apiaceae
Description: long non-coding RNA (DCAR_LNC001251)
Source: RNAcentral